CUGUGCUCACUCUAGCAACAAAUAUAUUAAAAUUGGAAUGAUACAGAAAAGAUUAUUAUGGCACCUACACAAAGAUGACAUGAAAAUUCAUAUUUUUUU
Fukomys damarensis (Damara mole-rat) is the source of this 99-nucleotide non-coding RNA. The record is from Rfam. NCBI's taxonomy places the organism in Eukaryota, Metazoa, Chordata, Mammalia, Rodentia, Bathyergidae.